CCUACGGGAGGCAGCAGUAAGGAAUAUUGGUCAAUGGACGCAAGUCUGAACCAGCCAUGCCGCGUGAAGGAUUAAGGCCCUCUGGGUUGUAAACUUCUUUUAUAGGGGACGAAAAAAGGGCAUUCUUGCUCACUUGACGGUACCCUAGGAAUAAGCACCGGCUAACUCCGUGCCAGCAGCCGCGGUAAUACGGAGGGUGCAAGCGUUAUCCGGAUUUACUGGGUUUAAAGGGUGCGUAGGUGGGUUGGUAAGUCAGUGGUGAAAUCUUCGAGCUUAACUCGGAAACUGCCAUUGAUACUAUCAAUCUUGAAUCAUCUAGAGGUAAGCGGAAUAUGUCAUGUAGCGGUGAAAUGCUUAGAUAUGACAUAGAACACCAAUUGCGAAGGCAGCUUACUAUGGAUGCAUUGACACUGAGGCACGAAAGCGUGGGGAUCAAACAGGAUUAGAUACCCUGGUAGUCCACGCCCUAAACGAUGGAUACUCGACAUUUGUGAUAUACAAUAAGUGUCUGAGCGAAAGCAUUAAGUAUCCCACCUGGAAGUACGACCGCAAGGUUGAAACUCAAAGGAAUUGACGGCUGAGACGAGACGAGACGACGACGAGGGAGGAGG
This 611-nucleotide ribosomal RNA is filed under the name uncultured bacterium. Its description in RNAcentral is "bacterial SSU rRNA". It matches the Rfam family "Bacterial small subunit ribosomal RNA", at positions 338 to 951 of the family's 1533-position model. The record is from RNAcentral.